GGGGAAUUUUCCGCAAUGGGCGAAAGCCUGACGGAGCAAGUNCCGCGUGGGGGAUGAAGGUUUGUGGAUUGUAAACCCCUUUUGAUUGGGAAGAAUACUGACGGUACCAAUCGAAUAAGCCUCGGCUAACUCCGUGCCAGCAGCCGCGGUAAUACGGAGGAGGCAAGCGUUAUCCGGAAUUAUUGGGCGUAAAGCGUCCGUAGGUGGUUUAGUAAGUCUGCUGUUAAAGCGCGGGGCUUAACUCCGUAUCGGCAGUGGAAACUACUAGACUAGAGUGUGGUAGGGGUAGAGGGAAUUCCCAGUGUAGCGGUGAAAUGCGUAGAUAUUGGGAAGAACACCGGUGGCGAAAGCGCUCUACUGGGCCAUAACUGACACUGAUGGACGAAAGCUAGGGGAGCGAAAGGGAUUAGAUACCCCUGUAGUC
This 424-nucleotide ribosomal RNA is filed under the name uncultured cyanobacterium. RNAcentral describes it as "bacterial SSU rRNA". It matches the Rfam family "Bacterial small subunit ribosomal RNA", at positions 356 to 795 of the family's 1533-position model. The record is from RNAcentral. Lineage: Bacteria; Bacillati; Cyanobacteriota.